CUAGAUUUCAGGGGAGGAACCCGAGGAAUUAAAGAAACAAGGAAAGAGGACUAGCCUGGGGAAGGUGGGAGGUGGGACCAAAGAGAGGGUGGGCCCGGGCGGGGCGGGGCGGGGCCGGGCCGUAGGGGCGAGGUUUGCAGGCCGAGGCUGCAGCGACGGCUGCUCAGUCACUGCUCCAAUCCACUACCUCCAAAGGUGCCACGGGACCCACGGAACUACAGGUGGUCCUGCUGAGCCCAGGAGCUGCACGGAAUGGUGGCAGUCACCUUGCCAGUGCAGCAGGCAUGGACCAGACUGCAAGCUAGGGGAACAAAGCAUC
Molecule: long non-coding RNA, 319 nt
Filed under: Dasypus novemcinctus (nine-banded armadillo)
Lineage: Eukaryota; Metazoa; Chordata; Mammalia; Cingulata; Dasypodidae
Description: lncRNA (ENSDNOG00000050526.1)
Source: RNAcentral